CAGCAGCCACGGGAAAACGGAGGGAGCUAGCGUUGUUCGGAAUUACUGGGCGUAAAGCGCACGUAGGCGGUUAUUCAAGUCAGAGGUGAAAGCCCGGGGCUCAACCCCGGAACUGCCUUUGAAACUAGAUGACUAGAAUCUUGGAGAGGUCAGUGGAAUUCCGAGUGUAGAGGUGAAAUUCGUAGAUAUUCGGAAGAACACCAGUGGCGAAGGCGACUGACUGGACAAGUAUUGACGCUGAUGCACGAAAGCUAGGGGAGCAAACAGGAUUAGAUACCCCUGUAGUCCCUGUCUCUUAUAA
This 301-nucleotide ribosomal RNA is filed under the name uncultured bacterium. RNAcentral describes it as "partial 16S ribosomal RNA". It matches the Rfam family "Bacterial small subunit ribosomal RNA", at positions 509 to 809 of the family's 1533-position model. The record is from RNAcentral.